AGUGAACGCUGGCGGUAGGCCUAACACAUGCAAGUCGAACGGCAGCACAGUAAGAGCUUGCUCUUACGGGUGGCGAGUGGCGGACGGGUGAGGAAUACAUCGGAAUCUACUUUUUCGUGGGGGAUAACGUAGGGAAACUUACGCUAAUACCGCAUACGACCUACGGGUGAAAGCAGGGGAUCUUCGGACCUUGCGCGAUUGAAUGAGCCGAUGUCGGAUUAGCUAGUUGGCGGGGUAAAGGCCCACCAAGGCGACGAUCCGUAGCUGGUCUGAGAGGAUGAUCGGCCACACUGGAACUGAGACCCGGUCCAGACUCCUACGGGAGGCAGCAGUGGGGAAUAUUGGACAAUGGACGCAAGCCUGAUCCAGCCAUACCGAGUGGGUGAAGAAGGCCUUCGGGUUGUAAAGCCCUUUUGUUGGGAAAGAAAAGCAGCAGGUUAAUACCCCGCUGUUCUGACGGUACCCAAAGAAUAAGCACCGGCUAACUUCGUG
Molecule: ribosomal RNA, 492 nt
Filed under: uncultured bacterium
Lineage: Bacteria
Description: partial 16S ribosomal RNA
Rfam family: Bacterial small subunit ribosomal RNA
Source: RNAcentral